Molecule: ribosomal RNA, 674 nt
Filed under: uncultured metazoan
Lineage: Eukaryota; Metazoa
Description: partial 18S ribosomal RNA
Source: RNAcentral
GAGCUCUCAAUCUGUCAAUCCUUCCAGUGUCCGGGCCUGGUGAGAUUUCCCGUGUUGAGUCAAAUUAAGCCGCAGGCUCCACUCCUGGUGGUGCCCUUCCGUCAAUUCCUUUAAGUUUCAGCUUUGCAACCAUACUUCCCCCGGAACCCAAACGCUUUGGUUUCCCGAAAGCUUCCCGCAGAGCCUACAAAUGCAACUCAGCGGAUCGCUAGCUGGCAUCGUUUAUGGUUAGAACUAGGGCGGUAUCUGAUCGCCUUCGAACCUCUAACUUUCGUUCUUGAUUAAUGAAAACACUCUUGGCAAAUGCUUUCGCAGUAGUUAGUCUUCAAACGGUCCAAGAAUUUCACCUCUGUCGUCUGAGUACUAAUGCCCCCGGCUGUCCCUAUUAAUCAUUAAGUCAAUUUCCGAAAACCAAAAAAAUAGAAACGACUUCCUAUUCCAUUAUUCCAUGCACAAAUAUUCAAGCUUUGUAGCCUGCUUUGAGCACUCUAAUUUUUUCAAAGUAAACCUGACGGCAUCCCAGGACACUCGGUUAAGAGCACCCUGGAACCUCCGUCAAAAACACGGGUAAAUGGGGCAGUAGCGUCAAAUAACGAACCGCCCCCUACCCGCCGAGAUCCAACUACGAGCUUUUUAACCGCAACAACUUUAAUAUACGCUAUUGGAGCUGGAAU